This 37-nucleotide ribosomal RNA is filed under the name Scopulibacillus darangshiensis. RNAcentral's name for it is "partial 16S ribosomal RNA". The record is from RNAcentral. Lineage: Bacteria; Bacillati; Bacillota; Bacilli; Caryophanales; Sporolactobacillaceae.
ACUUUUUGAGAGUUUGAUCCUGGCUCAGGACGAACGC